This is a regulatory RNA element of Jeotgalibacillus soli, 140 nucleotides long. It matches the Rfam family "PyrR binding site". Rfam says of the family: This family represents the PyrR binding site and terminator structure. NCBI's taxonomy places the organism in Bacteria, Bacillati, Bacillota, Bacilli, Caryophanales, Caryophanaceae. The record is from Rfam.
GGUACCUUUAAUUCAGUCCCGUGAGGCUGACAAGGACAGCGGAAAUUAUGAAGAGCAUGGGGUGACGUGUAUGCGUAUUGCCAUCGUUCUUCAUAGUGUAAAGAGGCUUCUUGUCAGAAAUGACAAGAAGCCUCUUUUGU